This 463-nucleotide ribosomal RNA is filed under the name Longitarsus fallax. RNAcentral's name for it is "partial 16S ribosomal RNA". The stretch from base 337 to 463 matches the Rfam family "Bacterial large subunit ribosomal RNA", at positions 2473 to 2599 of the family's 2925-position model. The record is from RNAcentral. Lineage: Eukaryota; Metazoa; Arthropoda; Insecta; Coleoptera; Chrysomelidae.
UUUGAAUGGCCGCGGUAUUUUGACUGUGCUAAGGUAGCAUAAUCGUUAGUUUUUUAAUUGAAAGCUGGUAUGAAGGGUUGGAUGAAAAAUUAACUGUCUCUAAUUAAUUUUAUUAGAAAUUUAUUUUUAAGUUAAAAAGCUUAAAUAUUUUUAAAAGACGAGAAGACCCUAUAGAGUUUAAUAUAUUUAAUUUAUAAAUAUUAAGAAUUUAUUUUUUAUAAUUAUAGUAUAUUUAAUUGGGGUGAUUAAAAAAUUUAAUAAACUUUUUUUAUAGAUUUAUAUUGAUUAAUAAAUUAAUGAUCCAAUAAUUUUGAUUAUAAGAUAAAUUACCUUAGGGAUAACAGCGUAAUUUUAUUAGAGAGUUCUAAUCGAAAAUAAAGUUUGCGACCUCGAUGUUGGAUUAAAAUUUAAAUUUGGUGUAGAAGCUAAAUAAUUUAAGUCUGUUCGACUUUUAAAAUUUUAC